Molecule: ribosomal RNA, 415 nt
Filed under: uncultured Anaplasma sp.
Lineage: Bacteria; Pseudomonadati; Pseudomonadota; Alphaproteobacteria; Rickettsiales; Anaplasmataceae
Description: bacterial SSU rRNA
Rfam family: Bacterial small subunit ribosomal RNA
Source: RNAcentral
AAUACGAGGUGCUAGCGUUGUUCGGAAUCAUUGGGCGUAAAGCGUACGUAGGCGGUUUAAUAAGUCGUUUGUGAAAGCCCCGAGCUUAACUUGGGAAUUGCAAUCGAUACUGUUUUACUAGAGUUUGGUGGGGGAUAGUGGAAUUCCUAGUGUAGGGGUGAAAUCCGUAGAGAUUAGGAGGAACAUCAGUGGCGAAGGCGACUAUCUACGCUAAUACUGACGCUAAGGUACGAAAGCGUGGGGAGCAAACAGGAUUAGAUACCCUGGUAGUCCACGCAGUAAACGAUGAGUGCUAGUUGUCGGGUCUUAGACUUCGGUGGCGAAGCUAACGCGUUAAGCACUCCGCCUGGGGACUACGAUCGCAAGAUUAAAACUCAAAGGAAUUGACGGGGACCCGCACAAGCAGUGGAUCAUG